This 301-nucleotide ribosomal RNA is filed under the name uncultured bacterium. RNAcentral's name for it is "partial 16S ribosomal RNA". It matches the Rfam family "Bacterial small subunit ribosomal RNA", at positions 509 to 807 of the family's 1533-position model. The record is from RNAcentral.
CAGUCGCCACGGUAAUACGGAGGGGGCUAGCGUCGUUCGGAAUUACUGGGCGUAAAGCGCACGUAGGCGGCUUUGUAAGUUAGAGGUGAAAGCCUGGGGCUCAACUCCAGAAUUGCCUUUAAGACUGCAUCGCUUGAACGUCGGAGAGGUGAGUGGAAUUCCGAGUGUAGAGGUGAAAUUCGUAGAUAUUCGGAAGAACACCAGUGGCGAAGGCGGCUCACUGGACGACUGUUGACGCUGAGGUGCGAAAGCGUGGGGAGCAAACAGGAUUAGAUACCCGCGUAGUCCCUGUCUCUUAUAC